RNAcentral lists this transfer RNA (74 nucleotides) under Haemaphysalis longicornis (longhorned tick). It matches the Rfam family "tRNA". From Rfam's summary of the family: Transfer RNA (tRNA) molecules are approximately 80 nucleotides in length. Their secondary structure includes four short double-helical elements and three loops (D, anti-codon, and T loops). The record is from Rfam by way of RNAcentral. Lineage: Eukaryota; Metazoa; Arthropoda; Arachnida; Ixodida; Ixodidae.
CCGCCGGUAGCGUAGUGGUUAUCGUGGCCAGACCGGUAUUCUGGAGGUCGUGGGUUCGAUUCCCACCUGGCGGG